RNAcentral lists this transfer RNA (123 nucleotides) under Spinacia oleracea (spinach). It matches the Rfam family "tRNA". From Rfam's summary of the family: Transfer RNA (tRNA) molecules are approximately 80 nucleotides in length. Their secondary structure includes four short double-helical elements and three loops (D, anti-codon, and T loops). Further hydrogen bonds mediate the characteristic L-shaped molecular structure. tRNAs have two regions of fundamental functional importance: the anti-codon, which is responsible for specific mRNA codon recognition, and the 3' end, to which the tRNAs corresponding amino acid is attached (by aminoacyl-tRNA synthetases). tRNAs cope with the degeneracy of the genetic code in two manners: having more than one tRNA (with a specific anti-codon) for a particular amino acid; and 'wobble' base-pairing, i.e. permitting non-standard base-pairing at the 3rd anti-codon position. The record is from Rfam by way of RNAcentral. Lineage: Eukaryota; Viridiplantae; Streptophyta; Magnoliopsida; Caryophyllales; Amaranthaceae.
GCCCGCCUAGCUUAGUUGGUAGAGCGCAACUAUGUAGGGUAUAUCCCACCACUCUCCAUGAGUGGUUAGCAAUCUAUAAACAAUGGGUGGUUGUGGUCGUGGGUUCGAUUCCCACGGUGGGCA